CCUACGGGAGGCAGCAGUGAGGAAUAUUGGUCAAUGGCCGGAAGGCUGAACCAGCCAUGCCGCGUGAAGGUCAGUGCCCUAUGGGCGUUAAACUUCUUUUGUGCGGGAGCAAUAAUGGUCACGUGUGGCCAGACGAGAGUACCGUACGAAUAAGCAUCGGCUAACUCCGUGCCAGCAGCCCCGGUAAUACGGGGGAUGCAAGCGUUAUACGGAUUUUUUGGGGUUAAAGGGGGCGUAGGCGGGGAGGUAAGUCAGCGGGGAAAUGCCCCCGCUCAACGGGGUGAAGUGCCAUUGAUACUGGCUUGCUUGAAUGCGGAUGCCGUAGGAGGAAUGUGUGGUGUAGCGGUGAAAUGCAUAGAUAUCACACAGAACACCGAUUGCGAAGGCAUCUCACG
This 395-nucleotide ribosomal RNA is filed under the name uncultured bacterium. RNAcentral describes it as "partial 16S ribosomal RNA". It matches the Rfam family "Bacterial small subunit ribosomal RNA", at positions 338 to 730 of the family's 1533-position model. The record is from RNAcentral.